UACGUAGGAUGCAAGCGUUGUCCGGAAUUAUUGGGCGUAAAGAGAACGUAGGUGGUCCUUUAAGUUCGAUCUUAAAGACCGGGGCUCAACCCCGGGAAUGGAUUGAAAACUGGGGGACUAGAGGAUGUUAGAGGACGGUGGAAUUCCAAGUGUAGCGGUGAAAUGCGUAGAUAUUUGGAGGAACACCAGUGGCGAAAGCGGCCGUCUGGGACAUUCCUGACACUGAGGUUCGAAAGCUCGGGGAGCAAACAGG
This 253-nucleotide ribosomal RNA is filed under the name uncultured bacterium. RNAcentral's name for it is "partial 16S ribosomal RNA". It matches the Rfam family "Bacterial small subunit ribosomal RNA", at positions 524 to 776 of the family's 1533-position model. The record is from RNAcentral.